This 98-nucleotide transfer RNA is filed under the name Dehalococcoidia bacterium. RNAcentral describes it as "tRNA-Sec". It matches the Rfam family "Selenocysteine transfer RNA". The record is from RNAcentral. Lineage: Bacteria; Bacillati; Chloroflexota; Dehalococcoidia.
GGGGGCGGAUGGGUCCCGGUGGGCUCCGUGGUCUUCAAAACCAAUGGCCCCGGCCCUUCGGUCGGGGUGGUGGGUUCGACUCCCUCCCGCUCCCGCCA